Coprinopsis sp. MPI-PUGE-AT-0042 is the source of this 101-nucleotide non-coding RNA. The record is from the annotation of a GenBank genome assembly. Lineage: Eukaryota; Fungi; Basidiomycota; Agaricomycetes; Agaricales; Psathyrellaceae.
GCCCGCCUAGCUCAAUCGGAUAGAGCGUCAGACUCUUACGUCGGGGGGCCUAAACCCGUAUCAAAAUCUGAAGGCUGGGAGUUCGACCCUCCCGGUGGGCU